RNAcentral lists this ribosomal RNA (582 nucleotides) under Exerodonta sumichrasti (Sumichrast's treefrog). RNAcentral describes it as "partial 16S ribosomal RNA". It matches the Rfam family "Bacterial large subunit ribosomal RNA", at positions 1831 to 2608 of the family's 2925-position model. The record is from RNAcentral. Lineage: Eukaryota; Metazoa; Chordata; Amphibia; Anura; Hylidae.
UCGCCUCUUGAUUAACUAUAAGAGGUCCAGCCUGCCCAGUGACCCUGUUUAACGGCCGCGGUAUCCUAACCGUGCGAAGGUAGCGUAAUCACUUGUUCUUUAAAUGAGGACUAGUAUGAAUGGCACCACGAAGGUUAUACUGUCUCCUUUUUCUGAUCAGUGAAACUAAUCUCCCCGUGAAGAAGCGGGGAUACCCCUAUAAGACGAGAAGACCCUAUGGAGCUUUAAACUAAAUUACAAUUGCUUUACUUAAUAUAUAUUUUUAAUAAUCAAUACUUAUUUUAGCUUUAUGGUUUUUAGUUUUAGGUUGGGGUGACCGCGGAGCAAAAUAUAACCUCCACAUUGAAUGGGAUUUUUAUCCCUGAGCCGUGAGCCACGACUCUAUGCACCAACAUAUUGACAUCAAUUGACCCAAUAUUUUGAUCAACGAACCAAGUUACCCUAGGGAUAACAGCGCAAUCCUCUUCAAGAGCCCCUAUCGCCAAGAGGGUUUACGACCUCGAUGUUGGAUCAGGGUGUCCCAGUGGUGCAGCCGCUACUAAAGGUUCGUUUGUUCAACGAUUAAAACCCUACGUGAUCUGA